RNAcentral lists this small RNA (18 nucleotides) under Arabidopsis thaliana (thale cress). RNAcentral's name for it is "Ath_wt_15761". Lineage: Eukaryota; Viridiplantae; Streptophyta; Magnoliopsida; Brassicales; Brassicaceae. The record is from RNAcentral.
CGGGCUAGAAGCGACGCA